Non-coding RNA from Photobacterium sp., 360 nucleotides. The record is from Rfam. NCBI's taxonomy places the organism in Bacteria, Pseudomonadati, Pseudomonadota, Gammaproteobacteria, Vibrionales, Vibrionaceae.
AAAGCCAAGGAGUUUGGCAGUCUCAGGAAGAGACCGGUGUAUCAGGACGGUAUAUCGAACAUGGACUGUGAAGGGAACGCCGAAGGAAUCGGUUAUAGCAAGCAGGACGUUUGCUGGUCAGGAUGACACAAGGACCACUUCAGGACGAAGUCAGGGACACCUCCAGGAUGGAUGAAGAGAGUCAGGACAGGAUGUGCUGAUGGGUCAGGAGACCGAAGGACAACUUCAGGACGAAGAAUACAAGGAAUAUGCUGACGGAUUACAGCAAUUCAACGGAAUGAUGCAGGGAGCACCGUAGUAGCGGGAAUGCUGCAAGUAAGACCUAAGGGCGCGACGCAAGUCGCGCCCGUUCUUUUUUGG